GAGCAAAUGAUGAUUCCAAAAGAUUAUUCUGAUACAUUUGAUGUUUCAAAAUCGAGCUUUUUAAACCUGAUGCUCA
This is a non-coding RNA of Triticum aestivum (bread wheat), 76 nucleotides long. The record is from Rfam. NCBI's taxonomy places the organism in Eukaryota, Viridiplantae, Streptophyta, Magnoliopsida, Poales, Poaceae.